This is a long non-coding RNA of Myotis davidii, 1163 nucleotides long. RefSeq lists it as uncharacterized. The transcript is spliced from 4 exons. The record is from RefSeq and is a predicted model, not a curated record. NCBI's taxonomy places the organism in Eukaryota, Metazoa, Chordata, Mammalia, Chiroptera, Vespertilionidae.
GACCUAGCGCUCCUGCUCGCGCUUCAGCCUGCGGGAGGGAUACCUCCUGGGUAUUCUCGAGAUCCAGCUCUCGGUUCCUGGGAUCUUGGAAUCUGCUCACACGUGGCUUGUACGGCGGAGGUUGUCCGGUCAGCGGGUUGCGGAGGAUCCCGCAGGUAGCAAAGGGAGGGCGAGGGCCCCUGCGACCUCAUACUGCGACUAGAACAUCCAUCAUUGUUAGCCCCGCAGCUAGCUUGGACACCAUUAAAAGGGCUCAUCAGCUUCAAAUGAAUAAAAGUAUCUGAUAUUCAUGAAGACAGAGUUUCAGGGCUUCUACCAGGAGCUACACUCUCUAGAAGCCCCUGCUUGGCCUUCCUGCACCUAACCCCACCCCAACUAGUCACACCUUGGCUGUGUAUGGUGUUUCUUGGCAACUGGAACACAGACUCCUCCAGCAGCUCCACAGAUCCCUUGUCCUCAGUGAGCAGAAGACUACAGAAACUGUCUACUGAAGAGGCUGUCCAUGUGAUUGAGCUCGGCUCUGCUUAACACACUUAACCACAGAGCAGUAACUGAGUGCUGGAUGUUACUCAUUCGUGCUCACCUCCUGCAGGUCACCCACUCCAUGACAUUCAUCCUUUAGUAUCUGCUCUUCGCUAAGGAGAAAACAACACCACCUGUCGUCUGUUAACCCGAGGACAGAAUGCCCAGGUGAGCCUGACUCACAGUACCUGUACUUAGCUAACCUUGACCACGUGCUGCCAAAGCUCCUGCAAGCCCUCCCUCCAAGCACAGCAGCAGCCCAGCUCCGGAGCGGACAGGCAUUCCACCCCACAGAAGUGAUCUGCUGUCACCUACUCUUGGGGGGCAAAAGGGAUUAUGGGGAGAUUAGAAGAAGAUAAAUGGGCCCAUUCCGUCAACCCAUAUUGUUAUCAGACAACUCAUUCUGGUCCACACAACAGCCCCGCCGGUGCACUGACUGAGGGGAGCCACGUGUUUAGUUCCCUGGACUCCCAUGUGACCUCACCCACUGACUUCCCCAGAAGGGGCUCUUGUAACCCCUUCAGGAAGCUGAAGCCAAACAAUAACUGAGAGGUUCUGUUCAGCUCCUCCUCUUCUGGGCAGCUUCACCCAGGAGUAACUUCAGUAACCAGUGGGGUGUGUGCUCGCCACUCAGGUUUUCA